RNAcentral lists this ribosomal RNA (564 nucleotides) under uncultured Alphaproteobacteria bacterium. RNAcentral's name for it is "bacterial SSU rRNA". It matches the Rfam family "Bacterial small subunit ribosomal RNA", at positions 1 to 571 of the family's 1533-position model. Lineage: Bacteria; Pseudomonadati; Pseudomonadota; Alphaproteobacteria. The record is from RNAcentral.
GGGAGCUCUCCCAUAUGGUCGACCUGCAGGCGGCCGCGAAUUCACUAGUGAUUAGAGUUUGAUCAUGGCUCAGAACGAACGCUGGCGGCAUGCCUAACACAUGCAAGUCGAACGAAGGCUUCGGCCUUAGUGGCGCACGGGUGCGUAACGCGUGGGAAUCUGCCCCUUGGUUCGGAAUAACAGUUAGAAAUGACUGCUAAUACCGGAUGACGACGUAAGUCCAAAGAUUUAUCGCCGAGGGAUGAGCCCGCGUAGGAUUAGCUAGUUGGUGUGGUAAAGGCGCACCAAGGCGACGAUCCUUAGCUGGUCUGAGAGGAUGAUCAGCCACACUGGGACUGAGACACGGCCCAGACUCCUACGGGAGGCAGCAGUGGGGAAUAUUGGACAAUGGGCGAAAGCCUGAUCCAGCAAUGCCGCGUGAGUGAUGAAGGCCUUAGGGUUGUAAAGCUCUUUUACCCGGGAUGAUAAUGACAGUACCGGGAGAAUAAGCUCCGGCUAACUCCGUGCCAGCAGCCGCGGUAAUACAAUCGAAUUCCCGCGGCCGCCAUGGCGGCCGGGAGCAUG